GGGGGCGACCUGGUUUCGACGUGGAUUACGAAGCUUAAGGUGCAUGUCGAGGAUGUAACUACCCUCGUAAAAAAUGUUACAAAACAAAUAGUUGCCAAUAAAAAACGCAACGUCGCUAAUGAUACUCACUUCGUAAAUGAAGAGGUAGCAAUCGCCGCCUAAAAAACGGCAUAGCGCCAUCCACCGAUUGUGCUUGUACGAUCGGAUGUAUACUGCAAAGCAUACAAGGGUGGUCAUAUGAUACAAGCUCGUGGAAUGAUCUGCCCAAGAUCAAACCAUUAAAUCAAAUGAGGGAUCGCUAUUUUGACAUCCUGCCAAUCGGAGGUGAAAUAGUUAAAUUAAAUGAUUGGAUACACAUGUAGACCCAAGAGUAGAGAAUUUGCGGACGCGGGUUCAAUUCCCGCCGCCUCCACUG
RNAcentral lists this transfer-messenger RNA (415 nucleotides) under Gammaproteobacteria (g-proteobacteria). RNAcentral's name for it is "2-12-FULL-37-34 sp001801485 Standard tmRNA". It matches the Rfam family "transfer-messenger RNA". From Rfam's summary of the family: Bacterial tmRNA, also known as 10Sa RNA or SsrA, is named for its dual tRNA and mRNA-like properties. Its role is to liberate the mRNA from a stalled ribosome. Lineage: Bacteria; Pseudomonadati; Pseudomonadota. The record is from RNAcentral. RNAcentral also lists the same sequence under 1 other name.